Long non-coding RNA from Papio anubis (olive baboon), 3819 nucleotides. The record is from Ensembl. Lineage: Eukaryota; Metazoa; Chordata; Mammalia; Primates; Cercopithecidae.
AGCCAGGUAAAACAUUAGAGAUAGAUGAUAAAAGGACUCAUUGCAUAUAAAAUUCUUUUAAGCACCUUUAAGGAGAAAUCAUGUUUAAAAGGGAGAUGAACAAAGGAGAAUAUUUUUAUCUUUCCAUUUGGGUCAUGUAGAGCUGUAACCAAACCAUAAGCUGGAAAUAUGGGGCCCGGAUCAAUGUACGGAAAAGCAAUAAUAAUGAAAAUAAUUCUUUACGUUUCUGGGGUUUCAGGCGUAUGGAAAGAGUUCUAAAAUUUUCACAAGUGCUCUUACAUAGACCAUCUCAUUUCGCCACGAUGAUCCAGGGGAGCCGGCAGAGCAGGUGUGGGUGUAGAGCACCAGCCCCCGUAUCCCGUGCUAAGGAUCUGAUCCUAAGCUGAACAGGCAUUUGCCCAUCCUCACGGCGCUUACUAUGCAGGGAGCGGAGUAAGUGAGAUAUAGAUGAAGUUUUAAAAACAUAUCAAAACUACAUGUGGGGGACAAAACACAGCAGACAUCCGGUACAGAUGGCUGCAGGGGCAACAGCUGCCAGGAGCCAAAGAGGACCUCAGCCCGAGCUACGGUGCCUGGCUGUGGAAGUGGUUCUUGGAGUGGGCGGGGUAGACCUGCCGCUGAGGGGCGGGGUCGUGGAGCCGGGAGCGAGCACGGUGGGGCGGGGCCAGACUGGCGGUGGGCGUGACCGUUGGUGAGGUGAGCUGGGUCAGCCUGCGGUGGAGGGGCGGGGUCCCAGAGCCGUGGGGCGGGGCAGCCCGUGGCCUGGAGCAGCGGUUGGCGACCUUUGGAGUGGCGGUUGCGCCGUUGGGCGGUUGGAUGGGGGUGCGGUCGGACGUAUAAAAGCUACGCCCAGCGCUUUUGGAAGCAGUAAGUCCAGCCCUAGGCUAAGGUGUUAAUCACUGAAAGGAGGUAGAACGUUUUUCCCCACCAGAGGAGGCAGCGACCACGUCUCCUCUAUGGAGGCAUUCAAGAGCCGUCCAGCUGAAGCAGCAUCAUUGUCUGGGCUUGGAAGGCACAAUCCAUACAGGUCUGCAUGGUCCACCAGAGCUCCACACCCACGGGGCCAGCCGGGGCUCUCUUCUGAAGCAGGGUCUCGCUCUGUUGCCGAGGCUGGAUCACAGCUCACUGCAACCUUGAACUCUACCUCAAGCAGUCCUCCCCACUCUGCCUUCCAAAGCACUAGCAUUACAGGCCUAAGCCACCACCCCCAUCCACUGAAGUGUAAACUAUCUCCUUCACGUUUCCAGUAGCUGCAGAGCAGAUCAGGUAAGGGUUCUUCCUGUGCAUUGCUUCAAGUUUCAUUCUCUCUUUAAAUGAUUUAAGGUUGGCUUUCAUGGUUCCUUCUUAAAGAAUGUUGAAGGUGUGUCUUCAGAUCCAUUCACUGUUUGUGGAACCCCAGGGAAGGCUGAUGUAAAACACUCUUUUUUCUCCCAAAUGUCUCAAAAAGUUGUAUUUUCUGGGUCCAAGGCAUCUGCAAGCCUCCUAAAGGCAUUUCCACUGUCACUACCAUCAGGUGUGAACUGUAAUCUGGCAUGCAUAGUUCCAAGAACUGUCAUAAUAGACGCUGAAGAACCAUUGUGAAGGUAACUUGCUCUUACCAACUGUGAAGUCGUUAGCUAGAGGAAUCUCGAGCGGUCUGAAAUCUGAAAUACUGUGGAAAGAACAGAAAGAUCCUGUCUCUUUCCCACAGUUGUUCUACUGGAAGUUCUCAUUUUCCAUAGGAGACAUUCUGUUUUAUUUAUUUUCUUUUGAGACAGGGUCUCACUCUAUCGCCCAGGCUGGAGUGCAGUGUUGUCACCACAGGUCACUGGUGCCUCCACUGCCUGAGGACUGCUCAAGCAAUCCCCCCACCUCAGUCCCCUGGUAGCUGGGGCCACAGGCCUGCACCAUGCCUGGCUAAUUAUUCUUAUUUGUAGAGACAAGGUUUAUCUUGCCUAGGCUGGUCUCAAAUUCCUGGGCUCAAGUAAUCCUCCUGCCGUGGCUUCUCAAAGUGCUUGGGAUUACAGAUGUGAGCUACCAUGCCCGGGCUCACAGGGGACGUUCUUGAUGUCCCUUUUGACAGUCUACAAAUCUUUUUUUUUUUUUUUUUUUGAGACAGGGUCUUGCUCUGUCACCCGGGCUGGAGUGCAGUGGUGCCAUCAUAGCUCACUGCAGCCUAAGCUAUACUGAGUUCAAGGGAUCUUCCCAUCUCGGCCUCCUGAGUAGCUGGGACUACAGGCACUUGCUGCCAGGCCCAGAUAAUUUAUUAAAAUUUUUUUUUUGUAGAGACAGGGUCUCACUAUGUUGCCCAGGCUAGGCUCAAACUCCUGGCCUCAAACAAUCCUCUACCUCAACCUCCCUAAGUGCUGGCAUUACAGGUAUCAGCUGCCAUGCCUGGCUGCAAAUCUUAAUGUUUUCUCCAGGGCUUCUUUUUCUGGUGUUCUUUUCUCAGGUAAUGGAAGUGGGCAGAGAAUGAUCCUUUCCCUAGGCUCCAGUGUGUAAGAGUUAAAGAAAGAGGAAAGAAACAUGAUGGCUUGAUGGUCAAGGACAGGUUUAUUUUAAAGAAAACAAACCCGAGAGUGGCUUCUGACUAAGAUCAGAGGCAUGCUUUCUUACAGACAGAGUUUUUAAGGAUUCAGGGUGGGAGAGUUUAUCAGAGGCUUAGACGACUUCUGUGUCUCUGCUGUGCUUACCUGGGAGGGAGAGUUGUGUGUCUGUUCCCAUACAUCUUCCUGCAGCUGCAGGCAUACCCCCAAGUCUGCUUUUAGCUUCCCUAUCUUAGUGCACCUGAAGGGAAAGGAAUGUGCUUAUUAAGGCUCACUGUUUUACUGGGGCCCAAUGUAUGAGGGUGAAGUUCGGCAGUUACCCAAGAGACUUUCCCCCCACCUCCUUCUGUGCCCGAGCUGUCUUAUCUAUGUUUUACUGUCUGCUCUUUCUGUCUGCUUUUUGUUAGAAGAGAAGUGAUUUUCUUGAAAUGCAUGAGGCUAGAAAGGGAGCUGGAACUUAAAGUGGUGGUGUUUGUCCGAGAGGAUGGUGCUUCUGCUCUGUUAUAGUGGGCAUGCAGAUUCAGGUCACUGCUACCAAAUUUCAGAGCCCAAGCACAGAGCCCAGAACGAAAUUGUGAGGGUUUCAAAACAAAACAAAACAACAACAACAAAAAACAGCUCUAUUGAAGUAUAAUUGACGUACAAUAAACUUGAAUAUUUAAAGUGUACGAUUUAUGAGUUUGGGCAUUUGUAUACACCCUUGCAACCAUCACCACAUUGAAGAUAAUGAAUAUGCCCAUUACCCCGGAAAGUUUUCCCAUGCCCUUUGCAGCCCCUCCCUUUCACCCCUCAAACACUUAAUGCACUUUUUCCCAAAAGACAAGACGUAAGAUAGCUUCCCUACACAUUUAUCAAAGCUGUUAUAAUCCUGAUUCCCAAACAAGGUAAGGAAAUUAUAAGACAAUUAGAGAACACUUUUAACUAUUCAGAUGUUAAAAUCCUCAGUAAAAUACCUGUAACAGUUAAUUGAACUAACCAGUUAUGCAAAAACAUACAAUCAACUAUGAUUGCACCCCUUUUUAUUCCCCUUUUUAUUCUCUAAUGACUCUACCUAUUGACUAUUGACUCCCCUUUUUAUUCUCUAAUGUGUUAUAUUUCACUAAAUCUUUGUUCAUCUUGCCAGUUUUUCUUCUAAUUUCCCUGCAGCUAUAAUUUUGGCUGAUGCUAUAGUUUGAAUGUUUGACCCUCCAAACCUCGUGUUGAAAUUUAGUCCCCAUUGUUGGAGGUGGGGCUUGGUGGAAGGUGUUUGGAUCAUGGAGAUGGAUCAUUCAUGAAGGGCUUGGUGCUGUCCUCA